UUGAAUGGAAAGAACUGGAAGCAUCUCUUGACAUUGUCAAGCGAAAAGACAUUCUUCAAAGUGGUGUAGUUCAUGAGGGGGAUGUCGUUGAUGUUAAAUAUGAAGAUGAAAGCUCUCCAGCAAUUGUUCUCAAGCUGAGUGAAAAUAAGGACAAGCUACUGAAAUGUUUACAUCAGAUAGAGUUAGAGAGGAAGCAGAAAGAGGAGUGCAAGCUGCCUGAAAAGAGAGCUGUUAAAAGGAAGCAAAUAUUUAGUCCAGAAAAUAGUCCAACAUCAAGUCCAGAAAAGAGACCUAAAAAAGUGGGAAAAUCACAAAAAGACACACUGUUGUUUAAUAAAAUACAGGAAAAAAACUAUGAAAAUAACACAAUAAAUGAUAUGAGAAGGG
Molecule: non-coding RNA, 387 nt
Organism: Paramisgurnus dabryanus
Lineage: Eukaryota; Metazoa; Chordata; Actinopteri; Cypriniformes; Cobitidae
Source: RefSeq, a predicted model, not a curated record